GGCCGAAUUUCAAACAGCUUUCAAAUUUCCCUUUUCACCAGCACUACAAACGCCGCUAUUCAUGGCGGGUAAAUUUGGCGCUGGGUCUAGUUCUGCUCUCUCGCACAGUCUAACCAAGUUCAUCCUCCAUUUCACAUGCCAAAUUGCGCGAAGAAGCGUUUUACUCUGGCGUUUCUUGAGCUCCGCAAUCUCCGAAAAAAUGGAGCGGCAACGAGGACGGUUUUCAGAACAAUAGCCGUGAGGUUAAGGUGCGAAAACCGAAAAGCUGGAAUCUCUAACAACAGCAUCCAGCAAUAACACUCUGUUCAGAUUCGAGAAACCACCGGAGAAAGCUGUUUUGUUUUUUUCCCUACGAACUCUAGGGCAUACUGUCCGGCCACUACUCACUCACUCUCCAGAGGCCAUUGAUGGCUGGUCGAGGAACUGCAUGGCCUUGUUCAUUGUUUUUCUGUUCGAACCCGCUGCUUCAACUCGGUUUUCACUCGGUAGAUUAGAAGGCACUUGGACGGCCAUGCACGGGUGACAUCCAUUACACUUGUUGUGGCAACUCGGCGGAGUCGAUCCAAGCCUGGUCUUAUCCUCGAUCAACAAUUCCUAUAAGCAAGAAAAAAACCCAGAUGCAUUAACUCCAUUAUAUAAUGCACGCAUCUCACAUGCAUACCUUUUUAUGUACCCUACAUACACACACAUCAUGGGUAAGAGAGAGAUAGAAAUGCUUACACGAGGAGAGGGAGGGGGCUGAAGAUGAUCAUGGGUAAGGGAACCGAGUACAGGAGAGAGAAGGAGAAGAAUGAUGGAGAAUGUGAUAGUUUUUGUGUAAAUAGAGAGCACCGAGUUGAGUGAAUUCAUAAUGAGUUCCAGACUCAUGAAUAUGUGGCCGAGUGAAGACCAGAUGAAGCCAUUAAUGAAGAAACCUGAGAAAAAAAAAAUGAACGAAAUCCCAAAUUGUACAG
Carica papaya (papaya) is the source of this 953-nucleotide non-coding RNA. NCBI's taxonomy places the organism in Eukaryota, Viridiplantae, Streptophyta, Magnoliopsida, Brassicales, Caricaceae. The record is from RefSeq and is a predicted model, not a curated record.